UACGGGGGGAGCAAGCGUUGUUCGGAUUUACUGGGCGUAAAGGGCGCGUAGGCGGCGUGACAAGUCACUUGUGAAAUCUCCGGGCUUAACCCGGAACGGUCAGGUGAUACUGUUUUGCUAGAGUGCGGAAGGGGCAAUCGGAAUUCUUGGUGUAGCGGUGAAAUGCGUAGAUAUCAAGAGGAACACCUGAGGUGAAGACGGGUUGCUGGGCCGACACUGACGCUGACAGCGCGAAAGCCAGGGGAGCAAACGGG
This 254-nucleotide ribosomal RNA is filed under the name uncultured bacterium. RNAcentral's name for it is "partial 16S ribosomal RNA". It matches the Rfam family "Bacterial small subunit ribosomal RNA", at positions 524 to 776 of the family's 1533-position model. The record is from RNAcentral.